GAUGAACGCUGGCGGCGUGCCUAAUACAUGCAAGUCGAACGCUGGAGCUCUAGCUUGCUAGAUCGAAGGAGUGGCGAACGGGUGAGUAAUACAUAAGCAACCUACCCACGAAGACUGGGAUAAUCUCUGGAAACGGGGACUAAUACCGGAUAGGUAAUCGGAAGGCAUCUUCUGGUUAUUAAAGGUUAAAAACACUGGUGGAUGGGCUUAUGGCGCAUUAGUUAGUUGGUGAGGUAACGGCCCACCAAGACGAUGAUGCGUAGCCGGCCUGAGAGGGUGAACGGCCACAUUGGGACUGAGACACGGCCCAGACUCCUACGGGAGGCAGCAGUAGGGAAUUUUCGGCAAUGGGGGCAACCCUGACCGAGCAACGCCGCGUGAGUGAAGACGGCCUUCGGGUUGUAAAGCUCUGCUGUAAGGGAAGAACGGUAGAUAGAGAAUAUCUAAGUGACGGUACCUUACCAGAAAGCCACGGCUAACUACGUG
RNAcentral lists this ribosomal RNA (486 nucleotides) under uncultured bacterium. RNAcentral describes it as "partial 16S ribosomal RNA". It matches the Rfam family "Bacterial small subunit ribosomal RNA", at positions 28 to 507 of the family's 1533-position model. The record is from RNAcentral.